GUAGGUGAACCUGCGGAAGGAUCAUUACCGAGUUCAUGCCCUCGCGGGUAGAUCUCCCACCCUUUGUAUACCAUACCUCUGUUGCUUUGGCGGGCCGCCUAGCUACCGGCUUCGGCUGGUAAGUGCCCGCCAGAGGACCCCGAACCCUGAAUUAUUAGUGUCGUCUGAGUAAAAUUUUAAUAUUUAAAACUUUCAACAACGGAUCUCUUGGCUCUGGCAUCGAUGAAGAACGCAGCAUCUGACUGACUGA
This 250-nucleotide unclassified non-coding RNA is filed under the name plant metagenome. RNAcentral describes it as "partial contains small subunit ribosomal RNA, internal transcribed spacer 1, and 5.8S ribosomal RNA". The record is from RNAcentral.